GCUUGCUCCCUGAUGUUAGCGGCGGACGGGUGAGUAACACGUGGGUAACCUGCCUGUAAGACUGGGAUAACUCCGGGAAACCGGGGCUAAUACCGGAUGGUUGUUUGAACCGCAUGGUUCAGACAUAAAAGGUGGCUUCGGCUACCACUUACAGAUGGACCCGCGGCGCAUUAGCUAGUUGGUGAGGUAACGGCUCACCAAGGCGACGAUGCGUAGCCGACCUGAGAGGGUGAUCGGCCACACUGGGACUGAGACACGGCCCAGACUCCUACGGGAGGCAGCAGUAGGGAAUCUUCCGCAAUGGACGAAAGUCUGACGGAGCAACGCCGCGUGAGUGAUGAAGGUUUUCGGAUCGUAAAGCUCUGUUGUUAGGGAAGAACAAGUGCCGUUCAAAUAGGGCGGCACCUUGACGGUACCUAACCAGAAAGCCACGGCUAACUACGUGCCAGCAGCCGCGGUAAUACGUAGGUGGCAAGCGUUGUCCGGAAUUAUUGGGCGUAAAGGGCUCGCAGGCGGUUUCUUAAGUCUGAUGUGAAAGCCCCCGGCUCAACCGGGGAGGGUCAUUGGAAACUGGGGAACUUGAGUGCAGAAGAGGAGAGUGGAAUUCCACGUGUAGCGGUGAAAUGCGUAGAGAUGUGGAGGAACACCAGUGG
RNAcentral lists this ribosomal RNA (653 nucleotides) under Bacillus siamensis. Its description in RNAcentral is "bacterial SSU rRNA". It matches the Rfam family "Bacterial small subunit ribosomal RNA", at positions 78 to 715 of the family's 1533-position model. The record is from RNAcentral. Lineage: Bacteria; Bacillati; Bacillota; Bacilli; Caryophanales; Bacillaceae.